RNAcentral lists this long non-coding RNA (376 nucleotides) under Buteo japonicus. RNAcentral describes it as "lncRNA (ENSBJAG00000000585.1)". Lineage: Eukaryota; Metazoa; Chordata; Aves; Accipitriformes; Accipitridae. The record is from RNAcentral.
GUGACCACGUGAGCGCCAUGCCUACCGAGGCUCCGCCAUGUUGCCUAAGGGGGCGUUCCCUCGCCGCUACUCUCCCCCCGCGCUCCGGGCGUGCAGCUGGAGGGGCCGAGGCAGUUUUUGGGCCAUCCUGGACGAGCCCCCACUGAAGAAGAUAAGGACUUUAGCCCUUUCAGGUAACUUAGUUUAGAAGUAUCCAUGUGCAUUACGUCAAAAUGUAAGCAUAGAUAACAGAAGCACUAACAAGCAUUCUUUAGGAUAAGAUGUAUCAAACAUGCAGAAGAUCACACUGUGCAGAAUCAUCCGAGAAGGGUCAAGUAGCGGACAAGUGAGGAAGACUCCUGAAGACCACCAGAGGACUCCUGAAGACCACCAGAGA